UUUUAUAAUUUAAAAAAAAAAAAAAAACUGCACGAAACUACAUUAAACAAGUGCCCGUCGAAAGCAAGACAAGGCCAGCGCCGUUAGGUAGUAAUUGAUUUUAUCAUCAGUAGUGGACCAAACUAUAUUAACUGACGCCCAGUUUACACCGGAGAGUCUACGACGAAAUCAAAUCGGGGACGAUUCAAAACGGCGUCGCUUUUGUCUCUCCUUGAAACUGGGGGCACCCGAAGAGAAGAGAAGUUUCUUCAGGCAAAGUUGAGAGGUCUUAUUACAGUUGCAGAUUCUUCAACCUGUCUUCAAAACCAACAACACAUCUCCAUGUUUUUUUCCUUAAUGUCUCUCACCUAUAUUCUCACUUCUCCAUAAAAGCCAUUAACACAUUACACAUUUCUCUGACUCUCUCUGCAAUUUCUUUCAUCUAACUAAUUACUACUCCAUUACACUAAUUAAUCACCAUGGUUAAUGCCCACACUCUUCGCACUUCUCACUCUAACCCAUGUCUCAAGCAUCUCACUUGCUUUGUCUUUUACUCUUUCCUAAUGCGUCUCUUCAUGGAAUCAUCACUCUCCUUUUCUUUACCUGAAACCCUCGUUUUGCCUCUCAAAACGCAGCUAAUCUCAUCUGGGUCUGUUCCUAGAUCUCCAAGCAAGCUUCCUUUUCACCAUAAUGUAAGCCUCACUGUCUCUCUUACUGUCGGCACCCCUCCGCAGAAUGUGUCCAUGGUUAUCGACACAGGGAGUGAGCUCAGCUGGCUUCAUUGCAACAAAACAGCCACUUACCCAUCUGCUUUUGAUCCGACCCGAUCCACUUCCUAUGGACCCAUCCCAUGUUCUUCUCCAACCUGCACCAACCGGACCCAGGACUUCACUAUACCUGCUUCUUGCGACUCUAACGACUUCUGCCACGCCACGCUUUCCUACGCCGACGCUUCUUCUUCUGAGGGAAACCUGGCGUCUGAUACUUUCAACAUGGGGAGCUUCGACAGUUUGGAUAUGGUUUUUGGUUGCAUGCAUUCUGUUUUUAGUUCUAACACCGAUGAAGACUCCAAGAACACCGGGUUAAUGGGUAUGAACCGUGGGUCACUGUCUUUUGUUUCCCAAAUGGGUUUCCCGAAAUUUUCUUAUUGCAUUUCCGGUACCGAUUUCUCGGGCCUCUUACUUCUCGGCGAAUCCAAUUUUACUUGGAUGUUGCCAUUGAAUUAUACCCCAUUGAUCCAAAUUUCAACCCCAUUGCCGUACUUCGAUCGAGUUGCCUACACAGUUCAGCUUGAAGGAAUUAAGGUGUCCGAUAAGUUGCUUCCGAUACCCAAAUCAGUUUUUGAACCGGAUCAUACUGGGGCAGGUCAAACCAUGGUUGACUCGGGCACCCAGUUCACCUUCUUACUCGGGCCGGCUUACACAGCAUUGCGGACCGAGUUCUUGAACCAAACCACUGGGGUUUUAAGGGUUUUAGAGGAUUCGAAUUUUGUAUUCCAAGGAGCAAUGGAUCUGUGUUACCGGGUCCCGAUAACUCAAAGGGUACUGCCCCGGUUACCGACAGUGAGUUUGGUAUUUCGGGGCGCCGAAAUGACGGUUUCCUAUGAACGGGUCUUAUAUCGAGUUCCGGGUGAAGAGAGGGGAAAUGAUUCGGUGCAUUGCCUAUCCUUUGGUAACUCUGAUUUAUUAGGCGUGGAAGCGUAUGUGAUUGGCCAUCAUCAUCAACAAAACGUGUGGAUGGAAUUUGAUCUUGAAAAUUCAAGGAUCGGCUUGGCUCAGGUACGAUGUGAUUUGGCUGGUAAAAGAUUCGGUGUGGCCCACUGAGGUCCACGCGUUAAAUGAGAUCUCUUAUGAAGAUAACACGUGUGAUUUGUCUUCUUUAGUUUUGAUGGGGGGGGGGCGGGUAGGUUAUAAUGUAGUUUAUUUUCAUGCCAUUAACGUGGUCCUGCAAUUUGGUUCUGCCAACUUUGUUACCCCUACCGCUAAUGCUAGGUGUAAUCAGGACUGAGGAGGUGAUAAUUUUCCUUCCAUUUUGUAUAUUGUUUUGUUUGUGGGUAAAUUAUCGGAGGGAAUAUUGAAAAUAUUGCUAUUCAAAGUAACAACUCGUAUGCUUUUAAGUUUAUAAAUUCCUUUUUAUCAUUG
This 2120-nucleotide unclassified non-coding RNA is filed under the name Hevea brasiliensis (rubber tree). Lineage: Eukaryota; Viridiplantae; Streptophyta; Magnoliopsida; Malpighiales; Euphorbiaceae. The record is from RNAcentral.